This is a long non-coding RNA of Rhineura floridana, 1122 nucleotides long. RefSeq lists it as uncharacterized. The transcript is spliced from 3 exons. The record is from RefSeq and is a predicted model, not a curated record. Lineage: Eukaryota; Metazoa; Chordata; Lepidosauria; Squamata; Rhineuridae.
UGAUGUUAAUGUAAUUAACAUAACAAAGUUGAUAAAAAGGCUAGCAAUGCUUAAUUUUGCCAGAACUGGCUAAGGCUACUUCUCCACGUGGACGUGUUAGCAAUAAAGAUACUCCUUCUCCAUCAUUGUUUCGUUCGUUUCUGAACUCUAUUGGGUGAGUAUUGGGGAGCGAACUCAAGCUACCAGGAUCCCAAAAAGGGACUGGGGCGUUUUGUUGGUAACAGGCAGUGCAAGGGAUCAGCGCUUGUAGUCGCCGGGCAAAUCCCCCGUAACCCUGGGGCUCAUUCAGUGCAGGGCGUUGUGUGGCUCGGCGGCAGGAAUGCUGCCCCCGAGGGAAGCAAACAGCCCCCCCGGCGGGUGGCCGCUCUGGGCUCGGGCAGGGAAUGGAGGCAAACAGCCCAGCACGCUGCUAUGUCAAUCUGCACUGAAGCGCCCAGCAGAGGCUUUGCGGUGUUUCCUCUGAUAAAAGAAACAUGCAAGCCACUUAUAUGCCAAUAAUUCCUGUAUUUUUGUUUGCUUUAUUUGUGAUAUUUUGCAAAACUGACUGUAUGCUUUUCUGCCUUUAUUCAUAUUAAAAUUUCUGGAGAUACAGACGGCUGGCAAUUCCACUUAUUUCUCCAGAAAAGCAAGUAACAACAUGUCAUGUCUAGGAAGGUAGAGCACCAGUCUCUAUGGUUCCAGGUGGCCGAGACGCUCUAGCAAACCACUUGUAUGCUUAUGCCAAUAAUUCCUGUGUUAUUUUUUUGCUUGUUUUGCGAUAUUUUGCAAAACCAACUGUAUGUUUUUCUGCCUUUAUGCAUAUUAAAGUUUCUGGAGAUACAGACGGCUGGCAAUUCCACUUAUUUCUCCAGAAACGCAGAACAAUGUGUGCAUUGAUGCCAGUGCCACCCAGCUUUCAAGGCAUACCCCUACUUGAAUGGGCAAAUGACAGAAAUUCUUAUUUCCUCCUACAAAGAUGGAUUGAAAACUCUGGGGUGUGCACAGUCUGAAAUACCAUUCAAAGGCUGUAAUCCAUUACACACUUACCUGGGAGUAAGUCCCAUUGAACCCAAUGGAGCUUACUUCUCAGUAGACAUGUAUUGGAUUGCAGCUUAGGUUUCAGUCACAGGUCAUUGUUUUCCA